RNAcentral lists this ribosomal RNA (482 nucleotides) under uncultured bacterium. Its description in RNAcentral is "partial 16S ribosomal RNA". It matches the Rfam family "Bacterial small subunit ribosomal RNA", at positions 30 to 507 of the family's 1533-position model. The record is from RNAcentral.
AUUGAACGCUGGCGGCAUGCUUUACACAUGCAAGUCGAACGGUAACAGGCCGCAAGGUGCUGACGAGUGGCGAACGGGUGAGUAAUGCAUCGGAACGUGCCCAGUCGUGGGGGAUAACUACUCGAAAGAGUAGCUAAUACCGCAUACGAUCUACGGAUGAAAGCGGGGGACCGUAAGGCCUCGCGCGAUUGGAGCGGCCGAUGUCAGAUUAGGUAGUUGGUGGGGUAAAGGCUCACCAAGCCAACGAUCUGUAGCUGGUCUGAGAGGACAACCAGCCACACUGGGACUGAGACACGGCCCAGACUCCUACGGGAGGCAGCAGUGGGGAAUUUUGGACAAUGGGCGCAAGCCUGAUCCAGCAAUGCCGCGUGCAGGAAGAAGGCCUUCGGGUUGUAAACUGCUUUUGUACGGAACGAAACGGCUCUGGUUAAUACCCGGGGCUAAUGACGGUACCGUAAGAAUAAGCACCGGCUAACUACGUG